CGGAGGAGGAGGGAUUUGAACCCUCGAAGGAGGUUAUUACCCCCUUAAUCGCUUAGCAGGCGAUCGCCUUCGGCCAACCUAGGCUACUCCUCC
RNAcentral lists this transfer RNA (93 nucleotides) under Candidatus Hakubella thermalkaliphila. RNAcentral describes it as "Candidatus Hakubanella thermoalkaliphilus tRNA-Ser". The record is from RNAcentral. Lineage: Bacteria; Bacillati; Actinomycetota; Candidatus Hakubellales; Candidatus Hakubellaceae.